Molecule: ribosomal RNA, 587 nt
Filed under: uncultured bacterium
Lineage: Bacteria
Description: partial 16S ribosomal RNA
Rfam family: Bacterial small subunit ribosomal RNA
Source: RNAcentral
UGGGGAAUUUUGGACAAUGGGCGAAAGCCUGAUCCAGCAAUGCCGCGUGUGUGAAGAAGGCCUUCGGGUUGUAAAGCACUUUUGUCCGGAAAGAAAUCCUUGGCUCUAAUACAGUCGGGGGAUGACGGUACCGGAAGAAUAAGCACCGGCUAACUACGUGCCAGCAGCCGCGGUAAUACGUAGGGUGCAAGCGUUAAUCGGAAUUACUGGGCGUAAAGCGUGCGCAGGCGGUUUGCUAAGACCGAUGUGAAAUCCCCGGGCUCAACCUGGGAACUGCAUUGGUGACUGGCAGGCUAGAGUAUGGCAGAGGGGGGUAGAAUUCCACGUGUAGCAGUGAAAUGCGUAGAGAUGUGGAGGAAUACCGAUGGCGAAGGCAGCCCCCUGGGCCAAUACUGACGCUCAUGCACGAAAGCGUGGGGAGCAAACAGGAUUAGAUACCCUGGUAGUCCACGCCCUAAAACGAUGUCAACUAGUUGUUGGGGAUUUCAUUUCCUUAGUAACGUAGCUAACGCGUGAAGUUGACCGCCUGGGGAGUACGGUCGCAAGAUUAAAACUCAAAGGAAUUGACGGGGUCAUAGCUGUUUCCU